AUGCUAAUCAGGCCGCCAAGGAUGCGGCUAAGCUUGCGGAUGAGGCUGUUGAUCGUGCUUAUGAUGAGAGGGUUUUUGGCUUAUGAGGAGGCUCUUCAGACGUAUCAUGGUGCUCUGUCUGUUUACACCCAGUGGCUUGAUGAUGAUGCUCGUGCUGCAACUGUUCUCACUCUAGUGUUCUGCCUCAGUUUGCAUCUGAGUUUCUUGGUCUUCCUACUGUCUUUGAGAUGUGGACCUGUCUUCGUCAGCGCUAUGAGCCCUCUGGUGAUGCCCUAUACCUUUCUGUGGUCCGUCAGGAGCAUGCUCUUCAGCAGGGUGCGUGACUCUACUGUUGAUGACUUCUAUGCACAGAGUUCUACUAUCUGGCGCCAGCUUGAUUCUCUCUGCAGUGCUGGUUGUCGUACUUGCCCCUGUUGCCAGGCUGUCCAGGCCAAUUUGGAGUUUUGUCAUGUCUACGAGUUCCUGUCUCGGCUCCGUAAGGAGUUUGAGCCUCGGCGUGCUCUGUUGUUUGCUCGUGGCCGUAUUUCUCUCAUGGAGGCACUUUCUGAGAUUCGUGCUAAGGAGACUCGCUUACGUGGUGCUGGUUUGCUGGAGGUUCCCUCUGUGCUCGCUACUCGGGCUUCUUCCAUGCCACCUGCUGCACCGACCCCUUCUCGCUCGAGUGCUCCACCGCUCUUGCCCACUCCUUCUGGAGGCUCAGGUCGCCCCCGUCCACAUUGCGACUACUGCAACAAUGAUGGUCAUAUUGAGUCUCAGUGCUACAUGAAGAGGAAGCACCUGUGCAAGGCGCGAUCACCAUCUUCAGGGACUUCGUCAUCUACCUCGACAGCUUCAGCCAUUGCUUUGACUGAACAGGAUAUUCUAUGA
RNAcentral lists this ribosomal RNA (867 nucleotides) under Triticum aestivum (bread wheat). Its description in RNAcentral is "partial small subunit ribosomal RNA". The record is from RNAcentral. Lineage: Eukaryota; Viridiplantae; Streptophyta; Magnoliopsida; Poales; Poaceae.